Molecule: ribosomal RNA, 367 nt
Filed under: uncultured bacterium
Lineage: Bacteria
Description: bacterial SSU rRNA
Rfam family: Bacterial small subunit ribosomal RNA
Source: RNAcentral
GACCCCGCACAAGCGGCGGAGCAUGCGGCUUAAUUCGAUGAUACCCGUAGAACCUUACCUGGACUUGACAUAUAGGGUCAAGCUAUAGAGAUAUAGUGUGCAUUAGCGCCCUAUACAGGUGGUGCAUGGCUGUCGUCAGCUCGUGUCGUGAGAUGUUGGGUUAAGUCCCGCAACGAGCGCAACCCCCUGUCCUAUGUUGCCAGCAUUUAGUUGGGGACUCAUAGGAGACUGCCGUGAUAAACCGGAGGAAGGUGGGACGACGUCAAGUCAUCAUGCCCCUUAUGUCCAGGGCUGCACGCAUGCUACAAUGGCAAGUACAACGAGUCGCAAUACCGCGAGGUGGAGCAAAUCUCUUAAAGCUUGUCUC